GGCCGGUGCCGAAGGGGGCUGGAUGCUAAAAAAAAACCCUGGGGCUGCUUUUUGUCGUUAAUUAAGAGCUCUGAAUGCCAAAACAAACCCUGGAGCUGCUUUUUGUCGUUAAUUAAAAGGCCUGGAUGCUAAAACAAACGCUGGAGCUGCUUUUUUGUCGAGCACGAGUGAGACUGGACACUGAACAUACAUGCAGCGCGAAGGUUUACUCAUUCUACUGCAGCCUGGACAGAAACACCAGCUCUCACCUUAUAAACCAAACAGGUGUCACCACUUCAUCCCUGAUCAUAGAGAGUCUUCAUACAACAAAGUUCUUUGAGACCAGGACUGAGACCCUCCAGGAUUGAAACAACCAUUAAAGCACAGAGAGAAGAGACAGACGUAAAGACAAUUUCAGAAGGUCCUCAGCUGCUGUCGUCUUCUCCUCCUGCAGAGACAAGAACACGUGUUAAUCAUGAGAUAGAUCAGAUUAGUAAAUCAUAAUAUUUUUAUGACAUACUAUUCUCACAUUUUUUGACAGUUUUUAUGCCUUACUGUACUAUGACAUAUAACUUCUUAUCCUAAUAUAGCCUUCUUACCUUCAUUUUCCAUCGCUCACACCUCUACACAGUGUUUGUGGGUUAGGUUAGAUUUUCAUUUUUGUAUUUUGCUGUUU
Long non-coding RNA from Lates calcarifer (barramundi perch), 655 nucleotides. RefSeq lists it as uncharacterized. Lineage: Eukaryota; Metazoa; Chordata; Actinopteri; Centropomidae. The record is from RefSeq and is a predicted model, not a curated record. The transcript has 5 exons.